GACCAUCCCAGUUCGGAUUGCAGUCUGAAACUCGAGUGCAUGAAGCUGGAAUCGCUAGUAAUCGCAAAUCAGAAUGUUGCGGUGAAUACGUUCCCGGGUCUUGUACACACCGCCCGUCACACCAUGGGAGUUGGAAAUGCCCGAAGUCAGUGACCCAACCAAAAGGAGGGAGCUGCCGAAGGCAGGUUCGAUGACUGGGGUGAAGUCGUAACAAGGUACC
Molecule: ribosomal RNA, 220 nt
Filed under: uncultured bacterium
Lineage: Bacteria
Description: partial 16S ribosomal RNA
Rfam family: Bacterial small subunit ribosomal RNA
Source: RNAcentral